GAGGGUGUAGCUCAAGCGGUAGAGUGUGUGCUUAGCAUGCAUGAGCUCCUGGGUUCAAUCCCUAGUACCUCCU
Molecule: transfer RNA, 73 nt
Filed under: Camelus bactrianus (Bactrian camel)
Lineage: Eukaryota; Metazoa; Chordata; Mammalia; Artiodactyla; Camelidae
Also listed under: 2 other names
Rfam family: tRNA
About the family: Transfer RNA (tRNA) molecules are approximately 80 nucleotides in length. Their secondary structure includes four short double-helical elements and three loops (D, anti-codon, and T loops).
Source: Rfam by way of RNAcentral